This 253-nucleotide ribosomal RNA is filed under the name uncultured bacterium. RNAcentral's name for it is "partial 16S ribosomal RNA". It matches the Rfam family "Bacterial small subunit ribosomal RNA", at positions 524 to 776 of the family's 1533-position model. The record is from RNAcentral.
UACGUAGGGUGCGAGCGUUGUCCGGAAUUAUUGGGCGUAAAGAGCUCGUAGGCGGUUUGUCGCGUCGGCUGUGAAAACUCGGGGCUCAACCCCGAGCCUGCAGUCGAUACGGGCAGACUAGAGUGCUGUAGGGGAGACUGGAAUUCCUGGUGUAGCGGUGAAAUGCGCAGAUAUCAGGAGGAACACCGGUGGCGAAGGCGGGUCUCUGGGCAGUAACUGACGCUGAGGAGCGAAAGCGUGGGGAGCAAACAGG